GUGCUCGCUUCGGCAGCACAUAUACUAAAAAACUGGAACGAUACAGAGAAGAUUAGCAUGGCCCCUGUGCAAGGAUGACAUGCAAAUUCGUGAAGCAUUCCAUAUAAAA
Molecule: small nuclear RNA, 109 nt
Filed under: Cebus imitator (Panamanian white-faced capuchin)
Lineage: Eukaryota; Metazoa; Chordata; Mammalia; Primates; Cebidae
Source: RNAcentral